This 484-nucleotide ribosomal RNA is filed under the name uncultured bacterium. Its description in RNAcentral is "partial 16S ribosomal RNA". It matches the Rfam family "Bacterial small subunit ribosomal RNA", at positions 30 to 507 of the family's 1533-position model. The record is from RNAcentral.
AUUGAACGCUGGCGGCAUGCCUAACACAUGCAAGUCGAGCGGAUGAGCGGAGCUUGCUCCUGGAUUCAGCGGCGGACGGGUGAGUAAUGCCUAGGAAUGUGCCUAGUAGUGGGGGAUAACUUCCGGAAACGGGCGCUAAUACCGCAUACGUCCUGAGGGGGAAAGUUGGGGAUCUUCGGACCUCGCGCUAUCAGAUCAGCCUAUGUCGGAUUAGCUAGUUGGUGGGGUAAAGGCCUACCAAGGCGACGAUCCGUAGCUGGUGUGAGAGGAUGAUCAGGCACACUGGAACUGAGACACGGCCCAGACUCCUACGGGAGGCAGCAGUGGGGAAUAUUGGACAAUGGGCGCAAGCCUGAUCCAGCCAUGCCGCGUGUGUGAAGAAGGUCUUCGGAUUGUAAAGCACUUUUAGCAGGGAAGAAGGGUAGUAAGUUAAUACCUCGUUGUUUUGACGGUACCAACAGAAUAAGCACCGGCUAACUACGUG